UGUGGUGAUUUGUGUGCCAACUGUGGAUGCUCUCCUUUCUCCUGGGUGUUACCAGCCACCUGUGGUCUUGCCUUAUCUCCCUAAAAAUCAUGGUAGAAGGUGAAGAAGAAGCAAGCCUUCCACUCUGAUGAGCUGGGCAGGGUGUGUCUCAUACAGUUGGCUACAUCAGCUUUAUUUUUCACCUCUUGCAUCACUCACUUGAGACAGACUCCAUUCCUCUGGGCAAUAAUAAUAAUAAUAAUAAUAGAAAGAUUGAAAAUUAGUGUCAAUAAUAUUUUUCUCUCCACCUGUCUUCUUAUCAAUAGCAAAAAUCUCUUAUGCAUUCUGAGUUACUGUCCUUUUGAUCUCCAUGGGAGUUUUAUAUGUCAGUCAAAUGCCAAAUGUGCAAUAGGGAGCUCCAGCAUGGACAAGGGUGUUUGUCUUUCUCUUGCACGUCAGACACAGCUGGUGUGUGUACAUAGGCACAUGCACACACACACACACACACACACACACACACAUGCACACACACACACCAGGGAGGAAGAGACAGUUGGGUCCAGCUCUUGUUCUUCAAAUACUAUCAAGGAGGCUCAGUUCAUUUUUCUUUGCUAACCAGACUCCAGGUCCCAUCUGCUCCUUGAAAAGCAGCAAGGUCAAUGCCAAGUUCCCUUUCAUCAUCCAUAUCUGUGGCUGAGCUGUCUGCGGUGGCAGAAAUGAAUGUUCUCCAUAGCUCUCAGAGUCCUGGCAAUGGCGUGACUUAAAAGGGGCUCUCAAGCUUAAUAGCUCCUGUGUUUUCUGGAUUUAUAAGGAAAUGUGUCUUUGUUUUACUCACAAAAGCAUUUUUUAAGAGAUCUCAAGAAUUUGAAGGUUUGAAAUGAUAAAAAAUGCUCAUAUUUUUUCACAGCUAGA
RNAcentral lists this long non-coding RNA (891 nucleotides) under Homo sapiens (human). Its description in RNAcentral is "non-protein coding lnc-KLF4-11:1". The record is from RNAcentral. Lineage: Eukaryota; Metazoa; Chordata; Mammalia; Primates; Hominidae.